Molecule: ribosomal RNA, 495 nt
Filed under: uncultured bacterium
Lineage: Bacteria
Description: bacterial SSU rRNA
Rfam family: Bacterial small subunit ribosomal RNA
Source: RNAcentral
GCCCAGACUCCUACGGGAGGCAGCAGUGGGGAAUAUUGCGCAAUGGAGGGAACUCUGACGCAGCAACGCCGCGUGAAGGAAGAAGGCUUUCGGGUUGUAAACUUCUUUGAUCGGGGACGAAGAUGACGGUACCCGAGGAACAAGCCACGGCUAACUACGUGCCAGCAGCCGCGGUAAUACGUAGGUGGCAAGCGUUGUCCGGAAUUACUGGGUGUAAAGGGCGUGUAGGCGGGAGGACAAGUCAGAUGUGAAAGCCCAUGGCUUAACUGUGGAAUUGCAUCUGAAACUGUUUUUCUUGAGUGCUGGAGAGGAAAGUGGAAUUCCUAGUGUAGCGGUGAAAUGCGUAGAGAUUAGGAGGAACACCAGUGGCGAAGGCGGCUUUCUGGACAGUAACUGACGCUGAGGCGCGAAAGCGUGGGGAGCAAACAGGAUUAGAUACCCUGGUAGUCCACGCUGUAAACGAUGGAUACUAGGUGUGGGAGGUAUCGACCCCUU